This 315-nucleotide ribosomal RNA is filed under the name uncultured Antarctic bacterium. RNAcentral's name for it is "bacterial SSU rRNA". It matches the Rfam family "Bacterial small subunit ribosomal RNA", at positions 1052 to 1366 of the family's 1533-position model. The record is from RNAcentral.
UCGUCAGCUCGUGUCGUGAGAUGUUGGGUUAAGUCCCGUAACGAGCGCAACCCUUGUCCUUAUUUGCCAGCACGUAAUGGUGGGAACUAUAAGGAGACUGCCGGUGACAAACCGGAGGAAGGUGGGGACGACGUCAAGUCAUCAUGGCCCUUAUGACCAGGGCUACACACGUGCUACAAUGGGGCGUACAGAGGGUUGCUAAGCCGCGAGGUGGAGCCAAUCCCAGAAAACGUUUCGUAGUCCGGAUCGAAGUCAGCAACUCGACUUCGCGAAGUCGGAAUCGCUAGUAAUCGCGAAUCAGCAUGUCGCGGUGAA